This 203-nucleotide ribosomal RNA is filed under the name Ralstonia solanacearum. RNAcentral describes it as "partial 16S ribosomal RNA". It matches the Rfam family "Bacterial small subunit ribosomal RNA", at positions 131 to 334 of the family's 1533-position model. The record is from RNAcentral. Lineage: Bacteria; Pseudomonadati; Pseudomonadota; Betaproteobacteria; Burkholderiales; Burkholderiaceae.
CUGUAGUGGGGGUAUAACUAGUCGAAAGGACUAGCUAAUACCGCAUACGACCUGAGGGUGAAAGUGGGGGACCGCAAGGCCUCAUGCUAUAGGAGCGGCCGAUGUCUGAUUAGCUAGUUGGUGGGGUAAAGGCCCACCAAGGCGACGAUCAGUAGCUGGUCUGAGAGGACGAUCAGCCACACUGGGACUGAGACACGGCCCAU